This 1217-nucleotide ribosomal RNA is filed under the name Adelium alpicola. RNAcentral's name for it is "SSU rRNA". It matches the Rfam family "Eukaryotic small subunit ribosomal RNA", at positions 32 to 1195 of the family's 1831-position model. The record is from RNAcentral. Lineage: Eukaryota; Metazoa; Arthropoda; Insecta; Coleoptera; Tenebrionidae.
UUGUCUCAAAGAUUAAGCCAUGCAUGUCUCAGUACAAGCCAAAUUAAGGUGAAACCGCGAAAGGCUCAUUAAAUCAGUUAUGGUUCCUUAGAUCGUACACAAGUUACUUGGAUAACUGUGGUAAUUCUAGAGCUAAUACAUGCAAACAGAGCUCCGACCGGAGACGGUAGGAGCGCUUUUAUUAGAUCAAAACCAAUCGGUGGCGGUUUCCGUCAUCGUACAACUUGGUGACUCUGAAUAACUUUACGCUGAUCGCACGGUCUUGCACCGGCGACGCAUCUUUCAAAUGUCUGCCUUAUCAACUGUCGAUGGUAGGUUCUGCGCCUACCAUGGUUGUAACGGGUAACGGGGAAUCAGGGUUCGAUUCCGGAGAGGGAGCCUGAGAAACGGCUACCACAUCCAAGGAAGGCAGCAGGCGCGCAAAUUACCCACUCCCGGCACGGGGAGGUAGUGACGAAAAAUAACGAUACGGGACUCAUCCGAGGCCCCGUAAUCGGAAUGAGUACACUCUAAACCCUUUAACGAGGAUCAAUUGGAGGGCAAGUCUGGUGCCAGCAGCCGCGGUAAUUCCAGCUCCAAUAGCGUAUAUUAAAGUUGUUGCGGUUAAAAAGCUCGUAGUCGAAUCUGUGUCCCGCGCCGCCGGUUCAUCGUUCGCGGUGUUAACUGGCGUGUCGCGGGACGUCCUGCCGGUGGGCUUAGCUCGCAAGGGCGGCCCAACUCAAUCCCGCCGCGGUGCUCUUCAUUGAGUGUCGAGGUGGGCCGGCACGUUUACUUUGAACAAAUUAGAGUGCUUAAAGCAGGCUAAAACUUUGCCUGAAUACUGUGUGCAUGGAAUAAUGGAAUAGGACCUCGGUUCUAUUUUGUUGGUUUUCGGAACCCCGAGGUAAUGAUUAAUAGGAACGGAUGGGGGCAUUCGUAUUGCGACGUUAGAGGUGAAAUUCUUGGAUCGUCGCAAGACGGACAGAAGCGAAAGCAUUUGCCAAAAACGUUUUCAUUGAUCAAGAACGAAAGUUAGAGGUUCGAAGGCGAUCAGAUACCGCCCUAGUUCUAACCAUAAACGAUGCCAGCUAGCGAUCCGCCGACGUUCCUCCGAUGACUCGGCGGGCAGCUUCCGGGAAACCAAAGCUUUUGGGUUCCGGGGGAAGUAUGGUUGCAAAGCUGAAACUUAAAGGAAUUGACGGAAGGGCACCACCAGGAGUGGAGCCUGCGGCUUAAUU